UGGGCAGCAAACUGGCUACUCACGCAUGCAUGACUCUACUUGGCAUGCGCGCUGCCCCUACAAACUCUGUGCUGGGGCGCCUCCCUUCCAGGCUGUGACUGACAGCAGCGGAGCGCUGAACCACUACGCGUCUCUGGGCUUCACUCCGGGAUUUCCUUUCACCUACUUGGCCAGACCAGGAAGCAAACUUUUGAGCGGAACUCUCUCCCAUUGCCAUGGGUAAGUGCAAGAUCCUCCCUGCUAGGGGAUACACAGCAGAGGGCAAAGGAGACUGUUUUGGUUUUUUCAUAGGAUUGUGGGGAGUUGAAAGAUAACCCGAGGGUCAUCUAAGUCCAACCCCUCUGCGAUGCAGGGAUCACAACUACAGCAUCCAUGGCAGAUGGGCAUUCAGCUUCUGCUUUGAAAUCACCCAAAGAAGAGUUUCUUGACGGGAAAUUAUCAAAACGGCCAUGUUGUCUGGGAGUAAUUCCCUUUUUCAUGAUUUCCCAAACAAGGAUAAUGCAAACGUUUACUGCUCAAUACAAAAGUUGUUUGUAUGAUUGAAAGCUCCGUUACUGUGUUUUUCUUUUAAGACAAAAUAUGUUAGUGGGUUUUGGGUUGCAGUUUGGGCACUUGAUCUCUAAACGGUUCACCACCACUAGCUCAGCUAGUCCAUUUGGUCCAGACUUCUCUACUGUCGCUAUCUACAGAUUUAGAGAGACAAGAAGGGCUCUCCUUUUAUUUCCAUGGCUGUGUAAUUCAAAGCCAGAACCUGGAGUGAGAUCUGAUAAGGAAUAGCCAGAGGCAAUGGCCUCCUGACAGCAGCACUGUUGCCACUUACUGGAGUGGUGUUGGGACAGGGCUGCAGCCACCCUCAGUUUGCCGCCACCCUGACCAAUUCUGCCCCAGUACAUGGCAGUGAUGCCACGGUCAGGGAGCUCAUGAUGCAUUGCCGCCCCAUCCUACCAACCAGUCCUACCACUAACCUAGAAUCACCCCGACCAGAACAUAUUCUAUAAACUUAAAAAAGCAAUGCAUAUAUUUAUUUAUGGAAAACAGCAAUCAAAACAUGGAGUCAUUUGGUAAAUAAAGGAAUACAAAUAAAGGUGUUGAUCUCCUCACCAAAUAUACUUGGCUCUCCACUAACAGCAGGCUAACUCCCAGCCUUUUACCUAUGCCUCCACUCUUUCUAAUCUCACUCAAUCUUCAGUCUUUCUCCAUAGCCACUCUUCCUAAAUGUCAACCUGUCAUUCCAUCUGACUCUAUCCACCAUUCCAGUGCACUCUGUCACUAAUUCUUCCACUUGUUGUUCUGUUACACACCUUCUAAAGCUAUUGCAACAUUUUGUGUUGCUCUAUAAAUUAAUUAUGCAUUGUGCGAAGAGGUACUUUCGCCCUCUAACACCUGUAAUGUGACUACUGUAUGAAAAGCAUGCAUUUGUAGUCUGGGGCAUGGCUUUUGCGUACAUGAUGUGGCCACCUCACUAAAGCUGAGCAGGUGAGGGUCUGGUUAGUCCCCAUGUACCUCAUCCUGAGCUCAAGUGUUACCAGCUAAAGGGCAGGUAUGAAAUUGAAUAAACAAACACAUAAUGCAGGCAGAAUAAAUGCUCAUAGCAAAUCUUUCAAUCUAUCAAUUAUAUUGACUUCAGUAAGAAUCAGUAAAUGAGCACCCAUACUAUGAUUCUGAAGUUGGGAGAAAGUUGAAAAGCAGCUUUGUGAUAUAAGGUUCAUUGGUCUGGAAAAUUCUACUUUUCACUGGGCAGACCCCAAGCCUAAAAAAGACUAUUUAGAACCUGGCCCAAGCUACUUAAGUACAUGGCAUAAUUAAAAGGAGUUAGCAAGCAAAUGGAGAAAACAAGCAAUUUCAAAGGCCGAGACUAUGAUUGAAGGCAUUUUGCAUCCUUGCAUAUAUUUUUGUAUAUUUAGUUAAUGAUUUUAAUGUUAACUGAACAGUAAUCCUACAGUGAUUUUUGCUGAGCCCAAAAUACUAAACUAUUUAUACUUGGGAUUUACGCCUUGGUAUUAGCAUGAUUAACACUAUUUAUUCUUGUAUAUUUAAAAUGACAAUAGUAUUUUCUUUUAACAUUAUUAACUUGCAUCUUCAUGAUUGCUGCACUGGAGGCUUGAAGUCAUGGACUAAAACUGUCAUAAAAAUAAAGCUGCAGCUCAACAAGACUGUCAUUCAUGCCUUUCCUUAAUUUGUAGGAACUCUCAUAAUCUUACUGACCCAUCCCCCAGUAAUGACAGUAUUAACUGCAGUAGCUUGGCGGGGAAUACUUAAGAAAGAAAAACUAAGCAUGCCAAGAACAGGAGAAAGAAGAGCAAUUAAUGUCAAGAUGACUGGGGCACGUUUUUUCUAGAUCAAUAUAAAUGAAAAAUUGAGGAAUUUAAGAAACAAUUAUGUAUUUUAAAACUAAAGAUAGAUGUUCUGCGUGAAUCAGAUGUGUUAGCUGAAUGUUAAUUUAUCUGAAGCCUCUAGUUUUUAUAAGUCUGCAUAGUCUCACCUCUCAACCCUUGGUUUCCAAAAAAAGAAGGCAAGUUUAGAACACAAAACCUUGAAGGGAUGAAUGCAACAAGAAUGCAAAACACACCCUCUUAAAAAAUUAAACCAUCCUCUUAUAUAUAAAUGCUGGUGCCACCCUGCGUACCUAUACUGUAUACCAUUGCUGUCCUAAGCGAAACAUCUGCAUGGACAAUGAAGCAAAAAAUGAAAGCAAUGCUAAUAUUAUAAAAAACUGAGCUUGAACAUGAGGCUGAAGCCCUAUGCAGAGUUAAGUAUGCUUAAAUCUAUGUAUUUUUCUUGGUCUCAUUUAGGUAUACCUACUUCUGCAUCGUACCGGGCAAGAGAAAAUCUCAGCAUUGAACUCACGGUGCAGUCUUGCAUGACUUAUUUUAUUAGUCUGUCU
Molecule: non-coding RNA, 2884 nt
Organism: Podarcis lilfordi (Lilford's wall lizard)
Lineage: Eukaryota; Metazoa; Chordata; Lepidosauria; Squamata; Lacertidae
Source: the annotation of a GenBank genome assembly